CCUACGGGUGGCUGCAGUGGGGAAUAUUGGACAAUGGGGGCAACCCUGAUCCAGCCAUGCCGCGUGUGUGAAGAAGGCCCUCGGGUUGUAAAGCACUUUCAGUGAGGAAGAACGCCUGGUGGUUAAUACCCAUCAGGAAAGACAUCACUCACAGAAGAAGCACCGGCUAACUCCGUGCCAGCAGCCGCGGUAAUACGGAGGGUGCGAGCGUUAAUCGGAAUUACUGGGCGUAAAGCGCGCGUAGGUGGCUUGAUAAGCCGGUUGUGAAAGCCCCGGGCUCAACCUGGGAACGGCAUCCGGAACUGGCAAGCUAGAGUGCAGGAGAGGAAGGUAGAAUUCCCGGUGUAGAGGUGAAAUGCGUAGAGAUCGGGAGGAAUACCAGUGGCGAAGGCGGCCUUCUGGACUGACACUGACACUGAGGUGCGAAAGCGUGGGUAGCAAACAGGAUUAGAUACCCUUGUAGUC
Molecule: ribosomal RNA, 465 nt
Filed under: Vreelandella stevensii
Lineage: Bacteria; Pseudomonadati; Pseudomonadota; Gammaproteobacteria; Oceanospirillales; Halomonadaceae
Description: partial 16S ribosomal RNA
Rfam family: Bacterial small subunit ribosomal RNA
Source: RNAcentral